Molecule: ribosomal RNA, 469 nt
Filed under: uncultured bacterium
Lineage: Bacteria
Description: partial 16S ribosomal RNA
Rfam family: Bacterial small subunit ribosomal RNA
Source: RNAcentral
GACGAACGCUGGCGGCGUGCUUAACACAUGCAAGUCGAACGGAAAGGCCCUGCUUGCAGGGUGCUCGAGUGGCGAACGGGUGAGUAACACGUGGGUGAUCUGCCUCUUACUUUGGGAUAAGCCUGGGAAACUGGGUCUAAUACUGGACAGGACCAUGCUGUAGGUGGUGUGGUGGAAAGAUUAGUUUCGGUAAGGGAUGAGCUCGCGGCCUAUCAGCUUGUUGGUGGGGUAAUGGCCUACCAAGGCGUCGACGGGUAGCCGGCCUGAGAGGGUGGUCGGCCACAUUGGGACUGAGAUACGGCCCAGACUCCUACGGGAGGCAGCAGUGGGGGAUAUUGCACAAUGGGCGCAAGCCUGAUGCAGCGACGCCGCGUGGGGGGUGACGGCCUUCGGGUUGUGAACUCCUUUCAGCCAUGACGAAGCCCUUGUGGUGACGGUAGUGGUAGAAGAAGCACCGGCUAACUACGUG